AAACUUCAAUGCACUAUCUGUCCUGCAAGUUUAAAGCGAAAAGUCAUUUUAAGAAACAUCACCAUGCUAAAUCCUACUUCCUCAUGCGAAGAAAAUAAGUUCAGAAUAUUGUACAAUACCACUGGUUGGUUGGUUGCUAUCACAUGCGGUUUGGUUAUUAACUUACAAAAUUUUACAAGUAAAAAUCUCAAAAAUAUUUCAAAACAGACACAAAAGCAGAUCCUUUCAGAAUCAACGUAAAAUCUCAACUUGAAUCAGUAAAACCAGGAGAAAAGCAACUCCAUCUCCAAUUUUAGCGAGUCCAAAAAAUGCCUUUUUAUUAUUUAUGAGCUUAGGCUUCUAAUGUGCUAUUGAAGCCUGAAAUCAGAAGAAUUGGAAACCUAGCCCUCUUUAAUUAUUUAAUUAGUGUGGGUUGCUUAUAGAAUGAUAAAUUAUUAGGCACCUCUUUCAAGUCUUGAUUUCCACCUACCAAGAUAACUGGAUACCAUAGCUAGGGAUUUCUAUCAGGGAUUUUACAAGUUUUUUGGUAUUUUGGCAUCUCAGAUCAAAAACAGAAGCACCAGUAUCAAUAAUUGUUGGCAAGUGCAUCCUCUCUCUCUGCCUGCUAUUUUGGUGCUGCUCUUGUACUAAAUUUGAAGGUUUCAUUUAAAAAUCUAAAUUUUAGGGAUUCUAGGUAAAGGAUUAAUUUUAAAUGGGUUGACUGAUUUAUUUUUUUAAAUCAAAAUUUGGGAAGCAGAAAAUGCUAGUGACUGAGAAAAAGGAUUAGUGAUAAUACAUGUGGUUUCCAUUGCAACUUUAAUCAAAUUUUCUUAAGCCUCCGUUAUUAUUGUGGAUUUAGAUUGAUUUUUUUGGUCCAAAAUUUUAAGAGUUAUUUAUGAUUUGUUUAAUUAAAUUUUGUCAUAAUUUUGAUUUUGAAAUUUUAGUGUUGAUUUAUAAUUCACAAGUGUAAAAACAGUGUGAGGUGAUACAGACAAGUUCCCAUAACAGCUGGUUUACAUUAGGGAUUGACUUUGAAUUCAUGCCUAUUUACCUUAGUUAUAAGUAAGCUAACUAGUCAUAUUCAAGAU
Molecule: unclassified non-coding RNA, 1067 nt
Filed under: Hevea brasiliensis (rubber tree)
Lineage: Eukaryota; Viridiplantae; Streptophyta; Magnoliopsida; Malpighiales; Euphorbiaceae
Source: RNAcentral